RNAcentral lists this ribosomal RNA (253 nucleotides) under uncultured bacterium. RNAcentral describes it as "partial 16S ribosomal RNA". It matches the Rfam family "Bacterial small subunit ribosomal RNA", at positions 524 to 776 of the family's 1533-position model. The record is from RNAcentral.
UACGUAGGGUGCAAGCGUUGUCCGGAAUUAUUGGGCGUAAAGGGCUCGUAGGCGGUUUGUCGCGUCGGGAGUGAAAACUCAGGGCUCAACCCUGAGCGUGCUUCCGAUACGGGCAGACUAGAGGUAUGCAGGGGAGAACGGAAUUCCUGGUGUAGCGGUGGAAUGCGCAGAUAUCAGGAGGAACACCGGUGGCGAAGGCGGUUCUCUGGGCAUUACCUGACGCUGAGGAGCGAAAGCAUGGGGAGCGAACAGG